Molecule: ribosomal RNA, 253 nt
Filed under: uncultured bacterium
Lineage: Bacteria
Description: partial 16S ribosomal RNA
Rfam family: Bacterial small subunit ribosomal RNA
Source: RNAcentral
UACGGAGGACGCAAGCGUUAUCCGGAAUGAUUGGGCGUAAAGCGCCCGCAGGUGGCAAUGUAAGUCUGCUGUUAAAGAGUCUAGCUCAACUAGAUAAAAGCAGUGGAAACUACAUAGCUAGAGUACGUUCGGGGCAGAGGGAAUUCCUGGUGUAGCGGUGAAAUGCGUAGAGAUCAGGAAGAACACCAGUGGCGAAGGCGCUCUGCUAGGCCGUAACUGACACUGAGGGACGAAAGCUAGGGGAGCGAAUGGG